CGCUUGGAACCCAAAAAGCCAAAUGGAAUUAUGGGUUGCACCAAAAGGAGCAUGGCCAGCAGCUCACAGGAGGCAAUUCAGCACCUCUGCUCUUGGGAAAUCCCACCUGAGACACUGCAUUCAGCUCCCAACAUAAAAAGGACAGGGCCCUGUUGGCACAAAUCCAGACAAGGGCCACAAAGAUAAGGCAGCUGGAGCACCCCUCCUAUGAAGAUGGGCUGGAAGAGCUGGGACUGUUCCCCUGGAGAAAAGAAGGUGGAAUAUUUGGCAGAACAGCAAACAAUUCUACCGAAAAACACAUCUCUUCUCCCACCCAAGGCACAAGGUUAAAAAACAACAGAGUUACUGAAGAACCCUGUUGUAGCUCACUUUGAUUGGAAUUACCAUGGGAAAGCCUCUCCUGUAUCAUUUGGAGCUUGAGACUCAACCACAUUAUGUAACAAAUACUCUAUUUAAGCCUUUGUCAAUGUAGUUAUACAAGUACACUGCUUCACAGAAGACAACUUGGACAAAUAAAAAGAAUUGGUGCUUAACUGAUCCACCCAAAUCCUAAUCCAUGCUUCACAGUAGC
Molecule: long non-coding RNA, 571 nt
Organism: Passer domesticus (house sparrow)
Lineage: Eukaryota; Metazoa; Chordata; Aves; Passeriformes; Passeridae
Exons: 3
Source: RefSeq, a predicted model, not a curated record